This 523-nucleotide ribosomal RNA is filed under the name uncultured bacterium. RNAcentral describes it as "bacterial SSU rRNA". It matches the Rfam family "Bacterial small subunit ribosomal RNA", at positions 24 to 518 of the family's 1533-position model. The record is from RNAcentral.
UCAGGACGAACGCUGGCGGCGUGCCUAAUACAUGCAAGUCGAACGGUCUUUCUAUGGAAGCUUGCUUCCACUGAGAAGAUAGUGGCGAACGGGUGAGUAACACGUGGGUAACCUGCCCAUAAGAGGGGGGAUAACAUCCGGAAACGGGUGCUAAUACCGCAUAGUUUUCUUGAUCGCAUGAUCGGGAAAGGAAAGACGGCCUUUGUGCUGUCGCUUAUGGAUGGACCCGCGGCGUAUUAGUUAGUUGGUGAGGUAACGGCUCACCAAGACGAUGAUACGUAGCCGACCUGAGAGGGUGAUCGGCCACAUUGGGACUGAGACACGGCCCAAACUCCUACGGGAGGCAGCAGUAGGGAAUCUUCCGCAAUGGACGAAAGUCUGACGGAGCAACGCCGCGUGAGUGAAGAAAAGGUUUUCGGAUCGUAAAACUCUGUUGUCAGAGAAGAACAAGUUGGAGAGUAACUGCUCCAGCCUUGACGGUAUCUGACCAGAAAGCCACGGCUAACUACGUGCCAGCAGCCGC